AUCAUAACAGUGGAGAUAAAGAAUUUAAAUUA
RNAcentral lists this non-coding RNA (32 nucleotides) under Trypanosoma brucei brucei. The record is from RNAcentral. Lineage: Eukaryota; Euglenozoa; Kinetoplastea; Trypanosomatida; Trypanosomatidae.